RNAcentral lists this transfer RNA (72 nucleotides) under Gehyra marginata. RNAcentral describes it as "tRNA-Gly". The record is from RNAcentral. Lineage: Eukaryota; Metazoa; Chordata; Lepidosauria; Squamata; Gekkonidae.
AUCUUCUUAGUAUAGUUAUUACAAGUGACUUCCACUCACCAAACCCCAAAAGAUCUGCAUUGGGAGAGGAUA